RNAcentral lists this ribosomal RNA (1948 nucleotides) under Salmonella enterica. RNAcentral describes it as "partial 23S ribosomal RNA". It matches the Rfam family "Bacterial large subunit ribosomal RNA", at positions 1 to 2411 of the family's 2925-position model. The record is from RNAcentral. Lineage: Bacteria; Pseudomonadati; Pseudomonadota; Gammaproteobacteria; Enterobacterales; Enterobacteriaceae. RNAcentral also lists the same sequence under 1 other name.
CCACCACUAAGCCAGUGGUGAACUCCACAUACGCAUCCUUUGCUGAGGAUACGGUUAACGGAGCGAAAGCGACGUUCAACCUCAAAAGAAGCAGAGGGGGCUUAGUGGUGGGGUGACUGCGUACCUUUUGUAUAAUGGGUCAGCGACUUAUAUUCUGUAGCAAGGUUAACCGCAUAGGGGAGCCGUAGGGAAACCGAGUCUUAACCGGGCGUUAAGUUGCAGGGUAUAGACCCGAAACCCGGUGAUCUAGCCAUGGGCAGGUUGAAGGUUGGGUAACACUAACUGGAGGACCGAACCGACUAAUGUUGAAAAAUUAGCGGAUGACCUGUGGCUGGGGGUGAAAGGCCAAUCAAACCGGGAGAUAGCUGGUUCUCCCCGAAAGCUAUUUAGGUAGCGCCUCGUGAACUCAUCUCCGGGGGUAGAGCACUGUUUCGGCUAGGGGGCCAUCCCGGCUUACCAACCCGAUGCAAACUGCGAAUACCGAAGAAUGUUAUCACGGGAGACACACGGCGGGUGCUAACGUCCGUCGUGAAGAGGGAAACAACCCAGACCGCCAGCUAAGGUCCCAAAGUCAUGGUUAAGUGGGAAACGAUGUGGGAAGGCACAGACAGCCAGGAUGUUGGCUUAGAAGCAGCCAUCAUUUAAAGAAAGCGUAAUAGCUCACUGGUCGAGUCGGCCUGCGCGGAAGAUGUAACGGGGCUAAACCAUGCACCGAAGCUGCGGCAGCGACACUAUGUGUUGUUGGGUAGGGGAGCGUUCUGUAAGCCGUUGAAGGUGUCCUGUGAGGGAUGCUGGAGGUAUCAGAAGUGCGAAUGCUGACAUAAGUAACGAUAAUGCGGGUGAAAAACCCGCACGCCGGAAGACCAAGGGUUCCUGUCCAACGUUAAUCGGGGCAGGGUGAGUCGACCCCUAAGGCGAGGCCGAAAGGCGUAGUCGAUGGGAAACAGGUUAAUAUUCCUGUACUUGGUGUUACUGCGAAGGGGGGACGGAGAAGGCUAUGUUGGCCGGGCGACGGUUGUCCCGGUUUAAGCGUGUAGGUGUGUGUUCCAGGUAAAUCCGGUUCACUUUAACACUGAGGCGUGAUGACGAGGCACUACGGUGCUGAAGUGACAAAUGCCCUGCUUCCAGGAAAAGCCUCUAAGCAUCAGGUAACACGAAAUCGUACCCCAAACCGACACAGGUGGUCAGGUAGAGAAUACCAAGGCGCUUGAGAGAACUCGGGUGAAGGAACUAGGCAAAAUGGUGCCGUAACUUCGGGAGAAGGCACGCUGAUAUGUAGGUGAAGCGGUUUACCCGUGGAGCUGAAAUCAGUCGAAGAUACCAGCUGGCUGCAACUGUUUAUUAAAAACACAGCACUGUGCAAACACGAAAGUGGACGUAUACGGUGUGACGCCUGCCCGGUGCCGGAAGGUUAAUUGAUGGGGUUAUCCGUAAGGAGAAGCUCUUGAUCGAAGCCCCGGUAAACGGCGGCCGUAACUAUAACGGUCCUAAGGUAGCGAAAUUCCUUGUCGGGUAAGUUCCGACCUGCACGAAUGGCGUAAUGAUGGCCAGGCUGUCUCCACCCGAGACUCAGUGAAAUUGAACUCGCUGUGAAGAUGCAGUGUACCCGCGGCAAGACGGAAAGACCCCGUGAACCUUUACUAUAGCUUGACACUGAACACUGGUCCUUGAUGUGUAGGAUAGGUGGGAGGCUUUGAAGUGUGGACGCCAGUCUGCAUGGAGCCAUCCUUGAAAUACCACCCUUUAAUGGCUGGUGUUCUAACGUGGGCCCCUAAUCGGGGUUGCGGACAGUGUCUGGUGGGUAGUUUGACUGGGGCGGUCUCCUCCCAAAGAGUAACGGAGGAGCACGAAGGUUAGCUAAUCCUGGUCGGACAUCAGGAGGUUAGUGCAAAGGCAUAAGCUAGCUUGACUGCGAGAGUGACGGCUCGAGCAGGUGCGAAAGCAGGUC